This 748-nucleotide ribosomal RNA is filed under the name Enterococcus faecalis. Its description in RNAcentral is "bacterial SSU rRNA". It matches the Rfam family "Bacterial small subunit ribosomal RNA", at positions 61 to 780 of the family's 1533-position model. The record is from RNAcentral. Lineage: Bacteria; Bacillati; Bacillota; Bacilli; Lactobacillales; Enterococcaceae.
GUCGAACGCUUCUUUCCUCCCGAGUGCUUGCACUCAAUUGGAAAGAGGAGUGGCGGACGGGUGAGUAACACGUGGGUAACCUACCCAUCAGAGGGGGAUAACACUUGGAAACAGGUGCUAAUACCGCAUAACAGUUUAUGCCGCAUGGCAUAAGAGUGAAAGGCGCUUUCGGGUGUCGCUGAUGGAUGGACCCGCGGUGCAUUAGCUAGUUGGUGAGGUAACGGCUCACCAAGGCCACGAUGCAUAGCCGACCUGAGAGGGUGAUCGGCCACACUGGGACUGAGACACGGCCCAGACUCCUACGGGAGGCAGCAGUAGGGAAUCUUCGGCAAUGGACGAAAGUCUGACCGAGCAACGCCGCGUGAGUGAAGAAGGUUUUCGGAUCGUAAAACUCUGUUGUUAGAGAAGAACAAGGACGUUAGUAACUGAACGUCCCCUGACGGUAUCUAACCAGAAAGCCACGGCUAACUACGUGCCAGCAGCCGCGGUAAUACGUAGGUGGCAAGCGUUGUCCGGAUUUAUUGGGCGUAAAGCGAGCGCAGGCGGUUUCUUAAGUCUGAUGUGAAAGCCCCCGGCUCAACCGGGGAGGGUCAUUGGAAACUGGGAGACUUGAGUGCAGAAGAGGAGAGUGGAAUUCCAUGUGUAGCGGUGAAAUGCGUAGAUAUAUGGAGGAACACCAGUGGCGAAGGCGGCUCUCUGGUCUGUAACUGACGCUGAGGCUCGAAAGCGUGGGGAGCAAACAGGAUUA